AUCCACUGGUCUAAGCAGACCGGGGAGCACGUGCUGCAGCACUGGAUCCAGCAUUUAAACAUGUGAACCCUUUCAUUCCCAAAUCCAC
Long non-coding RNA from Etheostoma cragini (Arkansas darter), 88 nucleotides. RefSeq lists it as uncharacterized. The transcript has 3 exons. NCBI's taxonomy places the organism in Eukaryota, Metazoa, Chordata, Actinopteri, Perciformes, Percidae. The record is from RefSeq and is a predicted model, not a curated record.